This 383-nucleotide ribosomal RNA is filed under the name uncultured eukaryote. RNAcentral describes it as "partial 18S ribosomal RNA". It matches the Rfam family "Eukaryotic small subunit ribosomal RNA", at positions 592 to 976 of the family's 1831-position model. The record is from RNAcentral.
CUAUAGCGUAUAUUAAAGUUGUUGCAGUUAAAAAGCUCGUAGUUGGAUUUCUGGUGGGAGCGAUCGGUCUGGCGCUUAGCGCGAGUACUUGCAUCGUCUCCGGCCAUCCUUGGGGAGAGUCUGUCUGGCAUUAAGUUGUCGGGCAGAGGAUCCUCAUCGUUUACUGUGAAAAAAUUAGAGUGUUCAAAGCAGGCUUAUGCCGUUGAAUAUAUUAGCAUGGAAUAAUAAGAUAGGACUUUGGUACUAUUUUGUUGGUUUGCGCACCAAAGUAAUGAUUAAUAGGGACAGUUGGGGGUAUUCGUAUUCCGUUGUCAGAGGUGAAAUUCUUGGAUUUACGGAAGACGAACUACUGCGAAAGCAUUUACCAAGGAUGUUUUCAUUAA